This 253-nucleotide ribosomal RNA is filed under the name uncultured bacterium. Its description in RNAcentral is "partial 16S ribosomal RNA". It matches the Rfam family "Bacterial small subunit ribosomal RNA", at positions 524 to 776 of the family's 1533-position model. The record is from RNAcentral.
UACGAAGGGGGCUAGCGUUGUUCGGAAUUACUGGGCGUAAAGGGCGCGUAGGCGGCCUACCAAGUCAGGCGUGAAAGCCCCGGGCUUAACCUGGGAACUGCGUUUGAGACUGGUAAGCUUGAGUUCGGGAGAGGUGAGUGGAAUUCCCAGUGUAGAGGUGAAAUUCGUAGAUAUUGGGAAGAACACCGGUGGCGAAGGCGGCUCACUGGACCGACACUGACGCUGAGGCGCGAAAGCGUGGGGAGCAAACAGG